RNAcentral lists this ribosomal RNA (440 nucleotides) under uncultured bacterium. Its description in RNAcentral is "partial 16S ribosomal RNA". It matches the Rfam family "Bacterial small subunit ribosomal RNA", at positions 338 to 795 of the family's 1533-position model. The record is from RNAcentral.
CCUACGGGAGGCAGCAGUGGGGGAUAUUGCACAAUGGGGGAAACCCUGAUGCAGCGACGCCGCGUGUGGGAAGACGGUCCUCUGGAUUGUAAACCACUGUCCCCAGGGAUGAAGAUGACGGUACCUGGGGAGGAAGCUCCGGCUAACUACGUGCCAGCAGCCGCGGUAAUACGUAGGGAGCGAGCGUUGUCCGGAAUUACUGGGUGAAAAGGGAGCGUAGGCGGGACUGCAAGUUGGGUGUCAAAUCUACCGGCUCAACCGGUAGCCGCACUCAAAACUGCAGUUCUUGAGUGAAGUAGAGGCAGGCGGAAUUCCUAGUGUAGCGGUGAAAUGCGUAGAUAUUAGGAGGAACACCAGUGGCGAAGGCGGCCUGCUGGGCUUUUACUGACGCUGAGGCUCGAAAGUGUGGGGAGCAAACAGGAUUAGAUACCCCAGUAGUC